UGGUGAUUAUGGUCUUCAUUGCGCCUGUUUGCAAAUUAGCUAGCAAGUUAGGUAGCGUUGGUCAAAUCUUGUUGCAAAUGCAAACAAAAUAAAUUUACCUUCAGUUUAAAACUGGCUGUACUUCCAAUUUAAUUAGUAGCGAAAGCGAAUAUCACGCUUAUACAGGAUGCUUUCUGGCUAUCAAAAAUAAAGCUGAUGACUAUACCACCUGCUGUCCACAACCGGAAGGGUUUCGGCGCGCUAUUUCUCCAGAACAAACAUACUAUACAAGAGCAGCUCAUUACCAGUCAUGACCAGGAGGUGGCGAUAUUGACUGAGACAUUUUAGCGCUUACAGACUAAUUCCACCAGGCUGCAACUUUUGUUUAGUUACAUUAGAAAACCAGCUGAAAGUUUAUCCCGUUUACACCAGAGAAAGAUAAAUGAGCUGGAGUCAGAGAAACAACAAGUGGGAGAGAAGUCAUCUGCAGGCAUUGUUGAAGCAGCAUGAAGUGCAGCAGGUCCAUGUCCAGCUGGAAGAGGCUCAAGGACUGCUGAAGGUCAUGACGACAGAGGCAGAUGACCAGAUGAUGAGCGCAGAACUGGAAAAUGUCCUGCAUAUUGUCCCAAAUCACAGCUGCACUGUGGACACGCAACAGUAUUUGACUAACCAGAUCGAGCAGCUCAUAGGGGAGAAUCAGCAACUGAAAGUGGGGAAAUUUAGGGAAGAAUCUUUAUAGAACUUAGACUGUGACAACUAAUUCACAAUAUAGGAUACCUUAGCUAUUAGGUAGUUUCUGUUCAAAUUUGGGCAUUGUUGAUGCUGAAUGGCUGGAACAGGAAGAGCUAUGAAGAUAUAUUCCACAAAUAUGUCCUUUGAUCCAAGCUGAGUGUUUUAUAUUGCACUUCUUCUCGUAAGUGUUUCUUGCAUGUCAUCCGUACUCUAUACUGGUUGGUUUAACAGUCUGCAUUGAGACAGGCAGAGCUCAGACUCAGCAUAAUGGAAGGAGAGAAGGCCUGUCAGCAUGCUGUGCUCUCAGAAAAGAUCUGCAAUGUUGAUCAGCUUAGUUUAGAGAAACAGCAGAUGACCGCUGAGCUGGGAGUGCGGUGUAUGCAGCUUACCCAGCUGAAAGGUACAAACACAGAUUCAUCGAAAUCCCAAACCGCAUACCUGAUAUAAACUGACUUUAAAGUGUGUGUUGAACAAGUACAGUGUCCCUAAAAACUUGAACAUGUAAUUCUUGUGGUUACACUUUAUUUUAUAGUGUCCUUGUUACAGUGUAAUUAUACAUUUAAGUACUGAACAUCUAAGCACUUAUACAUCUAAGUACUUAAUUAGCUACAUGUACUUACUAUAUGGUUAGGGUUUGGCUUAGGGAAACUUGCAUGUAAUUAUGUAUAAUUAAUUGUUAUAAUAGUAAGUACAUGUAACAAGGACUCCUUAAAAUAAAGUGUUACCAUUCUUGCUUUUAUUGGAUUGUUAUUGUAUACAUUAUUUGGCAGAAACAAAAACUCAAAGCAAAUGUCAUCUGGGUCAGUGAUAUAUAACAUCCAUAGUAUCCACAAUUA
Molecule: long non-coding RNA, 1547 nt
Organism: Sinocyclocheilus anshuiensis
Lineage: Eukaryota; Metazoa; Chordata; Actinopteri; Cypriniformes; Cyprinidae
Source: Ensembl